ACAUUGAUCCGAUUUGGUAUGGGGUGUAUCGAAUAGUUCGGUCCGAUAUAAAAUUUCAUGGCUUGGACCAAUCCCGAUAUGAGUUCUUCUUGCAUCAUCAUUAAUGACUAGAUAGAUAAUUGCAAUGGAACCUUCAAUUAUUUUAGAUUGGAAUCCAUCUUAUUAGCAUUCUUACAAUAAAAGAUCAGAUAUAGUAAUCCAACUUUUCAUAAUAAUUUUGCCUUUUUGUUAAUAUCAUGUUGAUGCCUUUCAAUGAGG
This 258-nucleotide long non-coding RNA is filed under the name Elaeis guineensis (African oil palm). Its description in RNAcentral is "long non-coding RNA (EGUI_LNC020080)". The record is from RNAcentral. Lineage: Eukaryota; Viridiplantae; Streptophyta; Magnoliopsida; Arecales; Arecaceae.